Molecule: ribosomal RNA, 493 nt
Filed under: Archaeosporales sp. Asago04
Lineage: Eukaryota; Fungi; Glomeromycota; Glomeromycetes; Archaeosporales
Description: SSU rRNA
Rfam family: Eukaryotic small subunit ribosomal RNA
Source: RNAcentral
GUGCACCAGGGAACCAGGACUAUUACCUUGAAAAAAUUAGAGUGUUUAAAGCGGGCAUUUGCUUGAAUACAUUAGCAUGGAAUAAAGAAAAUAGAAACACGGUUCUAUUUUGUUGGUUAUAGGACCAACGUAAUGAUUAAUAGGGAUAGUUGGGGGCAUUAGUAUUCAAUUGUCAGAGGUGAAAUUCUUGGAUUUAUUGAAGACUAACUACUGCGAAAGCAUUUGCCAAGGAUGUUUUCAUUAAUCAAGAACGAAAGUUAGGGGAUCGAAGACGAUCAGAUACCGUCGUAGUCUUAACCAUAAACUAUGCCGACUAGGAAUCGGGCGAUAAAAUUUUAAUGACUCGCUCGGCACCUUAUGGGAAACCAAAGUUUUUGGGUUCCGGGGGGAGUACGGUCCGAAUGAUGACUUAAAGGAAUUGACGUAAGGGCACCAUCAUGGGAGACCUGCGGCUUAAUUUGACUCAACACGGGAAAACUCACCAGGUCCACAA